GGACAUGACGUUCCGGGGUCGGCGUGAUUGCGUAGGCGGCAGGCGUGGGUGGGACUUAUUGGGCGUAAAGAGCUCGGAGGCGGCUUGUCGCGUCUGCGGUGAAAACCCGGAGCUCAACUCCGGGCCUGCAGGGGUGACGGGCAGGCGAGAGUGCGGUAGGGGAGAUUGGAAUUCCUGGUGUAGCGGUGGAAUGCGCAGAUAUCAGGAGGAACACCGAUGGCGAAGGCAGAUCUCUGGGCCGUAACUGACGCUGAGGAGCGAAAGCAUGGGGAGCGAACAGGAUUAGAUACCCCGGUAGUC
This 300-nucleotide ribosomal RNA is filed under the name uncultured Thermovibrio sp. Its description in RNAcentral is "bacterial SSU rRNA". The stretch from base 52 to 300 matches the Rfam family "Bacterial small subunit ribosomal RNA", at positions 547 to 795 of the family's 1533-position model. Lineage: Bacteria; Pseudomonadati; Aquificota; Aquificia; Desulfurobacteriales; Desulfurobacteriaceae. The record is from RNAcentral.